CCCCUCCUCUGUUCCUGACUGGUGCUAAACAAGUGGGUGAUCACUUGCUAGAGCUGUUGUAAUCCAGCCCUCUUAACCCUGAAUCUCUGCACACGGGGUGUGGAUUAGCUGUGAGGCAGUAGGAACUCAAGUAUGUAUGCGCUGUUGAGCAGAAAGCCAUGGGAUAGGAAAACUUGUGCAGAAGACCUACUACAAGAGUCAGGACCUAAGUCUAGCUUCUAAACGAGGCCAGAGGUGCUUUGCUAUAUUAACACCAAUUCCUGCACUCAGUCUUGUGUGUGCAAUUCUUGUGUAAUUUGGGUAUAAACCCAUAGGUGGUUCAACUUGGGUCUUUUCUCUAGCCUUGGAGGUUGGGCGCAAGUUCUUCAGCAUGGCUUUGCAGUGACCCAUGUAACUCAGUGGUAAGGCUUUAAGCUCACUCUGGUUCAGACCUGCUGGGCUCAGCAAGCCUUGGUUUGAAGGGAGGGGCAUGUGUACUUUUAAAAAGAACGUUUAAUGUUAUUAUGUUUCAUAUUUGGAAAACAGGUGGGGAAAGUCUGUUCUUUCAAAGCACAGACAACAGGAAGUGAAGCUUAGUGAAAGGU
RNAcentral lists this long non-coding RNA (584 nucleotides) under Bos taurus (domestic cattle). Its description in RNAcentral is "long non-coding RNA NONBTAT015742". Lineage: Eukaryota; Metazoa; Chordata; Mammalia; Artiodactyla; Bovidae. The record is from RNAcentral.